Molecule: long non-coding RNA, 1529 nt
Organism: Phascolarctos cinereus (koala)
Lineage: Eukaryota; Metazoa; Chordata; Mammalia; Diprotodontia; Phascolarctidae
Source: RefSeq, a predicted model, not a curated record
UUAGACCUGAAAUGAAAAAGACUACUGCAAGGCUAAGCAUUUCUUUGAAAGAAACUCAAGAGGAAAGUUUCAUGAGGGAUGGUCCUUGUGACUUUACUGGGAGACAAAUCUGUGCUGCAUUUCACAGAAUCUGCAGAGGAGAAAAACUUUAUGAUUCUCGUCAUUGUGAGAAAGUGUUGAGUCAACAGUCAUCCCUUAUUUACCAUCAAAAAAUUAAUGCUGAUGUGAAACUACAUGAAUGUGGUAAAACUUUUAGUGAGCACUCAUCCUUCAUUAUACAUGGGAGAAGUCACAAUGGCAGGAAAGCUUAUGAAUGUAAUCUGUGUGGGAAGGCUUUCAGGUAUAAAAGCCAUCUUACUCUACAUCAGAGAAACCACACUGGGGAGAAAACUUAUACAUGUAAUCUAUCUGAAGGAUUUUACACACAGCUCCACCCUUAUUAACCAUCAGAGACUCCACACUAGAGAGAAACCUUAUGAAUGUAAUCAGUAUGGAAAGGCUUUCACAUGGAGUUCCAGCCUUAUUAAACAUCAAAGAGUCCACACUGGAGAGAAACUUUACAAAUGUAAUUAGUGUGGAAAAGCUUUAAGAUGUAAAAAUGAUCUUAGCCUACAUCAGAGAAUGCACACUGGAGAGAAACCAUAUGAAUGUGUUCAAUGUGGAAAAGUUUUCUGACUAAACUGGAAACUUGCUGUACAUGAGAUAAUCCACAUUGGAGGUAAUCCACAGUGUAAUUAACGUGACAAGGCUUUACCACUAAGCUCAAAUCUUGUUCAACAUCAGAGAAUCCACACUGGAGAAAUCUUAUGAGUGUUUAGAAUUUGAUAAAACUUUAUGUACAUCAUCUCCUUUCCAAACAAAUCUGAUGAAUGAAAAGUCCAUUUCUAGAACCCAUGGAAUGAUUGACCUGUGCUGUCCUCCAGUUCCUUUGCAAAUCUUAGGAGCCCUGGGGAAGAAGGUGCUGAGAAAAAGGUGUCCAGUUCUAAAGGGAUGAAGUGGUUCACUGAGUAACCAAGACCUCCCGCAGGUGAAGGGGCGUUGCAGAGAGUGGGAAGACAGACCAGGUGGAAAGGGCAGUGAGCAGAAGCCAGGAAUUCUGUGUGGCCCAGGGUCCGACCUUCCUGAGGCCCGCACCAACGGAGCUAGCUUCCAGAAGGCAGAGAUAUCGCAACUCCAUGGGAAGGCAGAGUGAGCUAUGCUCCUGGGGAAGAAGGCUUUACAAGUUUGGUUACAAGUUCGCUUCUAAUAUAGGAACUAUUUUCAUCUGAUGGACUGUCUGACCUCUGAUUAUGAAAAGUAUAAAAUCUCACCUGGAACAAUAUGUACAGAAGUGAUAUCUUUGAGCCAUCUUGGUCUCAAGAAACCCCAUCCUUGAUUCCCAAAGGGCCUCCUUCCUUGACUAGAGCUGACAUUGCAGAUCUUGGGGUGCAAAAAAGAGGGGAAUGCCUUAGAUUCUCUUGAGCUGGGGAAUAGAUCAUGUUAAUUCAAGAAGUAUUUAUGCAUCAAUCAAUAAACCUUUGUUAAGCACC